RNAcentral lists this ribosomal RNA (486 nucleotides) under uncultured bacterium. RNAcentral describes it as "partial 16S ribosomal RNA". It matches the Rfam family "Bacterial small subunit ribosomal RNA", at positions 30 to 507 of the family's 1533-position model. The record is from RNAcentral.
AUUGAACGCUGGCGGCAUGCCUUACACAUGCAAGUCGAACGGCAGCGCGGACUUCGGUCUGGCGGCGAGUGGCGAACGGGUGAGUAAUACAUCGGAACGUACCCUGUUGUGGGGGAUAACUAGUCGAAAGAUUAGCUAAUACCGCAUACGACCUGAGGGUGCAAGUGGGGGACCGGAAACGGCCUCAUGCAGCAGGAGCGGCCGAUGUCUGAUUAGCUAGUUGGUGGGGUAAAGGCCCACCAAGGCGACGAUCAGUAGCUGGUCUGAGAGGACGAUCAGCCACACUGGGACUGAGACACGGCCCAGACUCCUACGGGAGGCAGCAGUGGGGAAUUUUGGACAAUGGGGGCAACCCUGAUCCAGCAAUGCCGCGUGUGUGAAGAAGGCCUUCGGGUUGUAAAGCACUUUUGUCCGGAAAGAAAUCGCGCUGGUUAAUACCUGGCGUGGAUGACGGUACCGGAAGAAUAAGCACCGGCUAACUACGUG